This 250-nucleotide ribosomal RNA is filed under the name uncultured bacterium. RNAcentral describes it as "partial 16S ribosomal RNA". It matches the Rfam family "Bacterial small subunit ribosomal RNA", at positions 524 to 771 of the family's 1533-position model. The record is from RNAcentral.
UACGUAGGGUGCGAGCGUUGUCAGGAUUUACUGGGCGUAAAGGGGAGCGUAGGCGGACUUUUAAGUGAGAUGUGAAAUACCCGGGCUCAACUUGGGUGCUGCAUUUCAAACUGGAAGUCUAGAGUGCAGGAGAGGAGAAUGGAAUUCCUAGUGUAGCGGUGAAAUGCGUAGAGAUUAGGAAGAACACCAGUGGCGAAGGCGAUUCUCUGGACUGUAACUGACGCUGAGGCUCGAAAGCGUGGGAUAGCAA